AUUGAACGCUGGCGGCAUGCUUUACACAUGCAAGUCGAACGAGUGGCGAACGGGUGAGUAACGUAUCGGAACGUACCGAGUAGUGGGGGAUAACUUCCCGAAAGGAUAGCUAAUACCGCAUAUUAUUCGAGCGGCCGAUGUCUGAUUAGCUGGUUGGCGGGGUAAAGGCUCACCAAGGCGACGAUCAGUAGCGGGUCUGAGAGGAUGAUCAGCCACACUGGGACUGAGACACGGCCCAGACUCCUACGGGAGGCAGCAGUGGGGAAUGUUGGACAAUGGGCGCAAGCCUGAUCCAGCCAUGCCGCGUGUCUGAAGAAGGCCUUCGGGUUGUAAAGUACUUUUGGCAGGGAAGCGGUACCUGCAGAAUAAGCACCGGCUAACUACGUGCCAGCAGCCGCGGUAAUAC
Molecule: ribosomal RNA, 406 nt
Filed under: uncultured bacterium
Lineage: Bacteria
Description: partial 16S ribosomal RNA
Rfam family: Bacterial small subunit ribosomal RNA
Source: RNAcentral